Molecule: ribosomal RNA, 497 nt
Filed under: uncultured bacterium
Lineage: Bacteria
Description: partial 16S ribosomal RNA
Rfam family: Bacterial small subunit ribosomal RNA
Source: RNAcentral
GACGAACGCUGGCGGCGUGCCUAAUACAUGCAAGUUGAGCGCUGAAGGUUGGUACUUGUACCGACUGGAUGAGCAGCGAACGGGUGAGUAACGCGUGGGGAAUCUGCCUUUGAGCGGGGGACAACAUUUGGAAACGAAUGCUAAUACCGCAUAAAAACUUUAAACACAAGUUUUAAGUUUGAAAGAUGCAAUUGCAUCACUCAAAGAUGAUCCCGCGUUGUAUUAGCUAGUUGGUGAGGUAAAGGCUCACCAAGGCGAUGAUACAUAGCCGACCUGAGAGGGUGAUCAGCCACACUGGGACUGAGACACGGCCCAAACGCCUACGGGAGGCAGCAGUAGGGAAUCGUCGGCAAUGGGCGAAAGUCUGACCGAGCAACGCCGCGUGAGUGAAGAAGGUUGUCGGAUCGUAAAACUCUGUUGGUAGAGAAGAACGUUGGUGAGAGUGGAAAGCUCAUCAAGUGACGGUAACUACCCAGAAAGGGACGGCUAACUACGUG